AUGGCAGCAGUCCUGCAGUUGUGCGUCGACGAACUCUGCUUGGUGUACCACAUCGCAGCGGCCACAAAAUGGCCCAAGCGCCUGACCGAGAUGCUGCAGCAUGAGAAGUUGUUCACAUUUGCUGGUUUCAGCAUUGAAAGCGACAAAGAGAAGCUGAAGUUGUCCGGUAUGGAGAUCAACCCCAACAAGUUCAUCGACAUUCAGCGCAAGUGGAGAGUUCCAUACACCGGAAAAGAGUACGACUCCUUGACUAAUGUUGCAGCCAGCGCCAUCCACCCAUUCUACAAAGGCAUGAAGAACAAGAUCAACAUGCAGGAAGACUACAAACUGUGGGGGACCAGCGAGCUGCCAGACAACCUCAUCGAGUACGCAGGAGUAGAUGCUUACGCCGCGUACAAGUCAUGGUUCAUGAUCGACUACAUCACAGAUGGUUCGGAAUAUGCGAAAGACCGGGAGGCUGAAAACUACUACGACCGCCCCUAUUGCCCCUUUACGGGAUGA
RNAcentral lists this ribosomal RNA (501 nucleotides) under Triticum aestivum (bread wheat). RNAcentral describes it as "partial small subunit ribosomal RNA". Lineage: Eukaryota; Viridiplantae; Streptophyta; Magnoliopsida; Poales; Poaceae. The record is from RNAcentral.